UCUCCGUUGGUGAACCAGCGGAGGGAUCAUUACAGGACUCGCAAGACUCCUACAACCCUGUGAACUUAACUAUAAGCACGUUGCUUCGGCGGGUGUCUCGGAGGGGGUUCUCCCUCCCCCGAGACGCUAAACCCGCCGGCAGCCUACUAUACUCUGUCUCUUUGCGUUGGCAUCUCGAGUACAAUCAAACAAGUUAAAACUUUCAACAACGGAUCUCUUGGUUCUG
This 226-nucleotide unclassified non-coding RNA is filed under the name plant metagenome. RNAcentral's name for it is "partial contains small subunit ribosomal RNA, internal transcribed spacer 1, and 5.8S ribosomal RNA". The record is from RNAcentral.